GGCCCCAUCGUCUAGCGGUUAGGACGCCGGCCUCUCACGUCGGUAACAGGGGUUCAAGUCCCCUUGGGGUCA
RNAcentral lists this transfer RNA (72 nucleotides) under Deltaproteobacteria bacterium. Its description in RNAcentral is "tRNA-Glu". It matches the Rfam family "tRNA". From Rfam's summary of the family: Transfer RNA (tRNA) molecules are approximately 80 nucleotides in length. RNAcentral also lists the same sequence under 1 other name. The record is from RNAcentral. Lineage: Bacteria; Pseudomonadati; Myxococcota; Myxococcia.